GAAUUGACGGGACCCGCACAAGCAGCGGAGCGUGUGGUUUAAUUCGUUGCUACACGAAGAACUUACCUGGGUUUGACAUAUAGGUUGUAGGGAACUGAAAGGGACCGACCCUUCGGGAGCCUAUACAGGUGUUGCAUGGCUGUCGUCAGCUCGUGUCGUGAGAUGUUCGGUUAAGUCCGCUAACGAGCGCAACCCUCGUCGUAUGUUAUAUGUGUCAUACGAGACUGCCGGUAAAAGCCGGAGGAAGGUGAGGAUGAUGUCAAGUCAGCAUGACCUUUAUAUCCAGGGCUACACACACGCUACAAUGGUCUGUACAAUGGGUAGCCAAGCCGCGAGGCGGAGCCAAUCCUGAAAGCAGGCCUCAGUUCAGAUUGCAGUCUGCAACUCGACUGCAUGAAGCCGGAGUUGCUAGUAACCGCAGGUCAGCAAUACUGCGGUGAAUACGUUCCCGGGUCUU
This 457-nucleotide ribosomal RNA is filed under the name uncultured Anaerolineaceae bacterium. RNAcentral's name for it is "bacterial SSU rRNA". It matches the Rfam family "Bacterial small subunit ribosomal RNA", at positions 907 to 1382 of the family's 1533-position model. Lineage: Bacteria; Bacillati; Chloroflexota; Anaerolineae; Anaerolineales; Anaerolineaceae. The record is from RNAcentral.